GGAGGGUGCAAGCGUUGUCCGGAUUUAUUGGGUUUAAAGGGUGCGUAGGCGGCCUGACAAGUCAGUGGUGAAAUCCCCCCCGCUCAACGGGGGAACUGCCAUUGAAACUGUAAGGCUUGAGGACAGUCGAGGUAGGCGGAAUUUAUGGUGUAGCGGUGAAAUGCAUAGAUACCAUAAAGAACACCGAUAGCGAAGGCAGCUUACUAGACUGUACCUGACGCUGAGGCACGAAAGCGUGGGGAGCGAACAUGAUUAGAUACCCUGGUAGUCCACGCCGUAAACGAUGAUCACUGGAUGUAUGCGAUAGACAGUAUGCGUCUGAGCGAAAGCGUUAAGUGAUCCCACCUGGGGAGUACGUCGGCACGAUG
RNAcentral lists this ribosomal RNA (368 nucleotides) under uncultured organism. Its description in RNAcentral is "partial 16S ribosomal RNA". It matches the Rfam family "Bacterial small subunit ribosomal RNA", at positions 527 to 896 of the family's 1533-position model. The record is from RNAcentral.